GCUUUAUGUGAUGAUGAGAUAAUAGCAUAUCUUCUGGCUGGCCUUGGCUUAGACUAUGAUUCUUUUGUCACAUCGAUGACCACUAGAUCUGAAACCAUUACAUUGGAUGAUGUAUUUGCCCACCUCAUGGC
This 131-nucleotide small nucleolar RNA is filed under the name Zea mays. RNAcentral describes it as "Small nucleolar RNA Z247". It matches the Rfam family "Small nucleolar RNA Z247". From Rfam's summary of the family: Z247 is a member of the C/D class of snoRNA which contain the C (UGAUGA) and D (CUGA) box motifs. Most of the members of the box C/D family function in directing site-specific 2'-O-methylation of substrate RNAs. Lineage: Eukaryota; Viridiplantae; Streptophyta; Magnoliopsida; Poales; Poaceae. The record is from Rfam by way of RNAcentral.